This is a long non-coding RNA of Acipenser ruthenus (sterlet), 1352 nucleotides long. RefSeq lists it as uncharacterized. The record is from RefSeq and is a predicted model, not a curated record. Lineage: Eukaryota; Metazoa; Chordata; Actinopteri; Acipenseriformes; Acipenseridae. The transcript has 3 exons.
AUAACUCUAAUUGGUAAUAGUACUAAUGUAACUGUAAAUACAUGACUUGUUAUUUAUUUAUGCUCUAUUAUGCAUCUGAUUGGCUGUAGACAGUAACACGACUCGCCCGUAUACCAUGGAGGGUAUCAACUUGUGUUCAUUUCUGUAGAGCGGCUGAAAGCGGCAUCUUGUUGAAUUUCAGAGUAAUAGGAAGUGCCAGUGACAUGACGGCGUAUUACUCCUGAUUAACUACCGUGUCAACCUAAUUAGCACAGUAAUUAUAAGGCGCUAAUGAAUGAUUUCAAAUUCCCCGAGUUUCGAUUUACUUUGGAUUUCAAGUUUAAGGACCCAAGAAUGCAAGAUUUGUUGUGAUGUCUCAGUUUUCCAAAGGAUCUUGUCCACGCUGCCAGACCAAAGCGAGCCCCUUAUACAACGUUCUGCCACAGGUCAAGCUGAGCCUCAUGGUUAUGGAUGGAUCGUCGUGGGGCACCUCACCUAUAGCUAGGUGAAUAAAAAAGUCAAAAUAAUACUGUUAAAAAACAAGGAAGAGCAUGCACAGAAAGGAAGAGCAUGCACAGAAAGGAAGAGCAUGCACAGAAAGGAAGAGCAUGCACAGAAAGGAAGAGCAUGCACAGAAAGCCUACAGUAAGCUGUUUCUUGCGUGUCACUUGCUCUUGUAUAAUACAUUCAAAUAAUGUGCUCACUUGGACUCACUGAAUUAUUGCAUGUUACUAAAGCCACCGUGGAUGGAUAUUACAAAGCAGCAUCGAUUCAUAUGGGAGACCUUAUUCUGUUUACUACAGAAUGAUUAGUGUGUGAACAAUAAUGUAAUGUUGUCUGGCAUAUCUUUACUAUACAGUCAACUAUUAGUGUGAUAUCCCUAUUAAACUGAUCAGGCUAAUGCAGCACAUCAAAAGACAGAUUACUUGUCUUUUGCUAAAUAUGUGUUACAUGUCUUCCAUUUAUGCUGGAAAGAAAAGGGUAACAUUGUAAAAGUGUGCAAAACUUCACUACCAAUAGUAAAGCCUGCCGCUACCUGUUGAGUAUGACAUUUACACAUUGAGAGCUACCUUUUGAAAUCACAAUGUUAUAUAACAUUAAUAAGUACAAAAACCAAGGACAAAUCUAAGAUGGGGCAUUUUCUCUCUGAAAUGUAAUAAAACAUUCAAUCAGCACACCAGAAAAAUAUCAGCAAUUAAUACCUCAGAUUGAUUUUUCUCGACACUACCUAUCCAGGGAUAUUUGAAGGACAAUUCAUGUGAAUUACCACUUACAGCAUAUAUUUUGAAUCCACAAACAAAAUGACUAAAUCUCAUUAAAGCACUUCUGUUUUAAAUGCAUAUACAGUAGUUUAUUUUGGAUGUGUUUUUUUU